This 484-nucleotide ribosomal RNA is filed under the name uncultured bacterium. RNAcentral describes it as "partial 16S ribosomal RNA". It matches the Rfam family "Bacterial small subunit ribosomal RNA", at positions 30 to 507 of the family's 1533-position model. The record is from RNAcentral.
AUUGAACGCUCGCGGGAUGCUUUACACAUGCAAGUCGAACGGCAGCGCGGACUUCGGUCUGGCGGCGAGUGGCGAACGGGUGAGUAAUGUAUCGGAACGUGCCCAGUAGCGGGGGAUAACUACGCGAAAGCGUAGCUAAUACCGCAUACGCCCUACGGGGGAAAGCAGGGGAUCGUAAGACCUUGCACUAUUGGAGCGGCCGAUAUCGGAUUAGCUAGUUGGUGAGGUAACGGCUCACCAAGGCGACGAUCCGUAGCUGGUUUGAGAGGACGACCAGCCACACUGGGACUGAGACACGGCCCAGACUCCGACGGGAGGCAGCAGUGGGGAAUUUUGGACAAUGGGGGCAACCCUGAUCCAGCCAUCCCGCGUGUGGGAUGAAGGCCUUCGGGUUGUAAAGCACUUUUGGCAGGAAAGAAACGUCGCGGGCUAAUACCCCGUGGAACUGACGGUACCUGCAGAAUAAGCACCGGCUAACUACGUG